GAUGAACGCUGGCGGCGUGCCUAAUACAUGCAAGUCGAGCGAACAGACGAGGAGCUUGCUCCUCUGACGUUAGCGGCGGACGGGUGAGUCACACGUGGAUAACCUAUCUAUAAGACUGGGAUAACUUCGGGAAACCGGAUCUAAUACCGGAUAAUAUAUUGAACCGCAUGGUUCAUUAGUGAACGACGGUUUUGCUGUCCCUUAUAGAUGGAACCGCGCCGCAUUAGCUAGUUGGUAAGGUAACGGCUUACCAAGGCAACGAUGCGUAGCCGACCUGAGAGGGUGAUCGGCCACACUGGAACUGAGACACGGUCCAGACUCCUACGGGAGGCAGCAGUAGGGAAUCUUCCGCAAUGGGCGAAAGCUUGACGGAGCAACGCCGCGUGAGUGAUGAAGGUCUUCGGAUCGUAAAACUCUGUUAUUAGGGAAGAACAAAUGUGUAAGUAACUAUGCACGUCUUGACGGUACCUAAUCAGAAAGCCACGGCUAACUACGUG
RNAcentral lists this ribosomal RNA (497 nucleotides) under uncultured bacterium. RNAcentral's name for it is "partial 16S ribosomal RNA". It matches the Rfam family "Bacterial small subunit ribosomal RNA", at positions 28 to 507 of the family's 1533-position model. The record is from RNAcentral.